RNAcentral lists this small RNA (28 nucleotides) under Bombyx mori (domestic silkworm). RNAcentral's name for it is "ovarian small RNA-2775". The record is from RNAcentral. Lineage: Eukaryota; Metazoa; Arthropoda; Insecta; Lepidoptera; Bombycidae.
GCGUUGUAUGAUGGCUACACGCCACACA